UUUGGUUAAGUUAGAAAGGGCGCACGGUGGAUGCCUUGACACUAGGAGUCGAUGAAGGACGGGACUAACGCCGAUAUGCUUCGGGGAGCUGUAAGUAAGCUUUGAUCCGAAGAUUUCCGAAUGGGGAAACCCACCAUACGUAAUGGUAUGGUAUCCUUAUCUGAAUACAUAGGGUAAGGAAGACAGACCCAGGGAACUGAAACAUCUAAGUACCUGGAGGAAGAGAAAGCAAAUGCGAUUUCCUGAGUAGCGGCGAGCGAAACGGAACAUAGCCCAAACCAAGAGGCUUGCCUCUUGGGGUUGUAGGACAUUCUAUACGGAGUUACAAAGGAACGAGGUAGACGAAGCGACCUGGAAAGGUCCGUCGUAGAGGGUAACAACCCCGUAGUCGAAACUUCGUUCUCUCUUGAAUGUAUCCUGAGUACGGCGGAACACGUGAAAUUCCGUCGGAAUCUGGGAGGACCAUCUCCCAAGGCUAAAUACUCCCUAGUGAUCGAUAGUGAACCAGUACCGUGAGGGAAAGGUGAAAAGCACCCCGGAAGGGGAGUGAAAGAGAUCCUGAAACCGUGUGCCUACAAAUAGUCAGAGCCCGUUAACGGGUGAUGGCGUGCCUUUUGUAGAAUGAACCGGCGAGUUACGAUCCCGUGCGAGGUUAAGCUGAAGAGGCGGAGCCGCAGCGAAAGCGAGUCUGAAUAGGGCGUUUAGUACGUGGUCGUAGACCCGAAACCAGGUGAUCUACCCAUGUCCAGGGUGAAGUUCAGGUAACACUGAAUGGAGGCCCGAACCCACGCACGUUGAAAAGUGCGGGGAUGAGGUGUGGGUAGCGGAGAAAUUCCAAUCGAACCUGGAGAUAGCUGGUUCUCCCCGAAAUAGCUUUAGGGCUAGCCUUAAGUGUAAGAGUCUUGGAGGUAGAGCACUGAUUGGACUAGGGGUCCUCAUCGGAUUACCGAAUUCAGUCAAACUCCGAAUGCCAAUGACUUAUCCUUAGGAGUCAGACUGCGAGUGAUAAGAUCCGUAGUCAAAAGGGAAACAGCCCAGACCGCCAGCUAAGGUCCCAAAGUGUGUAUUAAGUGGAAAAGGAUGUGGAGUUGCUUAGACAACUAGGAUGUUGGCUUAGAAGCAGCCACCAUUUAAAGAGUGCGUAAUAGCUCACUAGUCGAGUGACUCUGCGCCGAAAAUGUACCGGGGCUAAAUACACCACCGAAGCUGCGGAUUGAUACCAAUGGUAUCAGUGGUAGGGGAGCGUUCUAAGGACAGUGAAGUCAGACCGGAAGGACUGGUGGAGUGCUUAGAAGUGAGAAUGCCGGUAUGAGUAGCGAAAGACGGGUGAGAAUCCCGUCCACCGAAUGCCUAAGGUUUCCUGAGGAAGGCUCGUCCGCUCAGGGUUAGUCAGGACCUAAGCCGAGGCCGACAGGCGUAGGCGAUGGACAACAGGUUGAUAUUCCUGUACCACCUCUUUAUCGUUUGAGCAAUGGAGGGACGCAGAAGGAUAGAAGAAGCGUGCGAUUGGUUGUGCACGUCCAAGCAGUUAGGCUGAUAAGUAGGCAAAUCCGCUUAUCGUAAAGGCUGAGCUGUGAUGGGGAAGCUCCUUAUGGAGCGAAGUCUUUGAUUCCCCGCUGCCAAGAAAAGCUUCUAGCGAGAUAAAAGGUGCCUGUACCGCAAACCGACACAGGUAGGCGAGGAGAGAAUCCUAAGGUGUGCGAGAGAACUCUGGUUAAGGAACUCGGCAAAAUGACCCCGUAACUUCGGGAGAAGGGGUGCUUUCUUAACGGAAAGCCGCAGUGAAUAGGCCCAAGCGACUGUUUAGCAAAAACACAGCUCUCUGCGAAGCCGUAAGGCGAAGUAUAGGGGGUGACACCUGCCCGGUGCUGGAAGGUUAAGGAGAGGGGUUAGCGUAAGCGAAGCUCUGAACUGAAGCCCCAGUAAACGGCGGCCGUAACUAUAACGGUCCUAAGGUAGCGAAAUUCCUUGUCGGGUAAGUUCCGACCCGCACGAAAGGUGUAACGAUUUGGGCACUGUCUCAACCAGAGACUCGGUGAAAUUAUAGUACCUGUGAAGAUGCAGGUUACCCGCGACAGGACGGAAAGACCCCGUGGAGCUUUACUGUAGCCUGAUAUUGAAUUUUGGUACAGUUUGUACAGGAUAGGCGGGAGCCUUUGAAACCGGAGCGCUAGCUUCGGUGGAGGCGCUGGUGGGAUACCGCCCUGACUGUAUUGAAAUUCUAACCUACGGGUCUUAUCGACCCGAGAGACAGUGUCAGGUGGGCAGUUUGACUGGGGCGGUCGCCUCCUAAAGUGUAACGGAGGCGCCCAAAGGUUCCCUCAGAAUGGUUGGAAAUCAUUCGUAGAGUGCAAAGGCAUAAGGGAGCUUGACUGCGAGACCUACAAGUCGAGCAGGGACGAAAGUCGGGCUUAGUGAUCCGGUGGUUCCGCAUGGAAGGGCCAUCGCUCAACGGAUAAAAGCUACCCCGGGGAUAACAGGCUUAUCUCCCCCAAGAGUCCACAUCGACGGGGAGGUUUGGCACCUCGAUGUCGGCUCAUCGCAUCCUGGGGCUGUAGUCGGUCCCAAGGGUUGGGCUGUUCGCCCAUUAAAGCGGUACGCGAGCUGGGUUCAGAACGUCGUGAGACAGUUCGGUCCCUAUCCGUCGUGGGCGUAGGAAAUUUGAGAGGAGCUGUCCUUAGUACGAGAGGACCGGGAUGGACGCACCGCUGGUGUACCAGUUGUUCUGCCAAGGGCAUAGCUGGGUAGCUAUGUGCGGAAGGGAUAAGUGCUGAAAGCAUCUAAGCAUGAAGCCCCCCUCAAGAUGAGAUUUCCCAUAGCGUAAGCUAGUAAGAUCCCUGAAAGAUGAUCAGGUUGAUAGGUUCGAGGUGGAAGCAUGGUGACAUGUGGAGCUGACGAAUACUAAUAGAUCGAGGACUUAACCAUAUAA
This 2929-nucleotide ribosomal RNA is filed under the name Bacillus cereus. RNAcentral describes it as "23S ribosomal RNA". It matches the Rfam family "Bacterial large subunit ribosomal RNA". The record is from RNAcentral. Lineage: Bacteria; Bacillati; Bacillota; Bacilli; Caryophanales; Bacillaceae.